CCUACGGGAGGCAGCAGUGAGGAAUAUUGGUCAAUGGUCGGGAGCCUGAACCAGCCAAGCCGCGUGAGGGAGGAAGGUCCUGAGGAUUGUAAACCUCUUUUGUCAGGGAACAAAGUACGCCACGCGUUGCCGUCCGAGUGUACCCGAAGAAAAAGCAUCGGCUAACUCCGUGCCAGCAGCCGCGGUAAUACGGGGGAUGCGAGCGUUAUCCGGAUUUAUUGGGUGUAAAGGGUGCGCAGGCGGGAUAUAAAGUCAGCGGUAAAAGUUCGGGGCUCAACCUCGUCGAGCCGUUGAAACUGAGGAUCUGGAGUGGGCGAGAAGGAUGCGGAAUGCGCGGUGUAGCGGUGAAAUGAAUAGAUAUCGCGCAGAACUCCGAUUGCGAAGGCAGCAUGCCGGCUCCAGACUGACGCUGAAGCACGAAAGCGUGGGUAUCGAACAGGAUUAGAUACCCGUGUAGUC
Molecule: ribosomal RNA, 459 nt
Filed under: uncultured bacterium
Lineage: Bacteria
Description: partial 16S ribosomal RNA
Rfam family: Bacterial small subunit ribosomal RNA
Source: RNAcentral